AUGAACGCUGGCGGCGUGCCUCAUACAUGCAAGUCGAGCGAACGGACGAGGAGCUUGCUUCUCUGAUGUUAGCGGCGGACGGGUGAGUAACACGUGGAUAACCUACCUAUAAGACUGGGAUAACUUCGGGAAACCGGAGCUAAUACCGGAUAAUAUUUUGAACCGCAUGGUUCAAAAGUGAAAGACGGUCUUGCUGUCACUUAUAGAUGGAUCCGCGCUGCAUUAGCUAGUUGGUAAGGUAACGGCUUACCAAGGCAACGAUGCAUAGCCGACCUGAGAGGGUGAUCGGCCACACUGGAACUGAGACACGGUCCAGACUCCUACGGGAGGCAGCAGUAGGGAAUCUUCCGCAAUGGGCGAAAGCCUGACGGAGCAACGCCGCGUGAGUGAUGAAGGUCUUCGGAUCGUAAAACUCUGUUAUUAGGGAAGAACAUAUGUGUAAGUAACUGUGCACAUCUUGACGGUACCUAAUCAGAAAGCCACGGCUAACUACGUG
This 496-nucleotide ribosomal RNA is filed under the name uncultured bacterium. RNAcentral describes it as "partial 16S ribosomal RNA". It matches the Rfam family "Bacterial small subunit ribosomal RNA", at positions 29 to 507 of the family's 1533-position model. The record is from RNAcentral.